GAUGAACGCUGGCGGCGUGCCUAAUACAUGCAAGUCGAGCGAACGGACGAGAAGCUUGCUUCUCUGAUGUUAGCGGCGGACGGGUGAGUAACACGUGGAUAACCUACCUAUAAGACUGGGAUAACUUCGGGAAACCGUAGCUAAUACCGGAUAAUAUUUUGAACCGCAUGGUUCAAAAGUGAAAGACGGUCUUGCUGUCACUUAUAGAUGGAUCCGCGCUGCAUUAGCUAGUUGGUAAGGUAACGGCUUACCAAGGCAACGAUGCAUAGCCGACCUGAGAGGGCGAUCGGCCACACUGGAACUGAGACACGGUCCAGACUCCUACGGGAGGCAGCAGUAGGGAAUCUUCCGCAAUGGGCGAAAGCCUGACGGAGCAACGCCGCGUGAGUGAUGAAGGUCUUCGGAUCGUAAAACUCUGUUAUUAGGGAAGAACAUAUGUGUAAGUAACUGUGCACAUGUUGACGGUACCUAAUCAGAAAGCCACGGCUAACUACGUG
RNAcentral lists this ribosomal RNA (497 nucleotides) under uncultured bacterium. Its description in RNAcentral is "partial 16S ribosomal RNA". It matches the Rfam family "Bacterial small subunit ribosomal RNA", at positions 28 to 507 of the family's 1533-position model. The record is from RNAcentral.